GAUGAACGCUGGCGGCGUGCCUAAUACAUGCAAGUCGAGCGAACAGACGAGGAGCUUGCUCCUCUGACGUUAGCGGCGGACGGGUGAGUAACACGUGGAUAACCUACCUAUAAGACUGGGAUAACUUCGGGAAACCGGAGCUAAUACCGGAUAAUAUAUUGAACCGCAUGGUUCAAUAGUGAAAGACGGUUUUGCUGUCACUUAUAGGUGGAUCCGCGCCGCAUUAGCUAGUUGGUAAGGUAACGGCUUACCAAGGCAACGAUGCGUAGCCGACCUGCGAGCGUGAUCGGCCACACUGGAACUGAGACACGGUCCAGACUCCUACGGGAGGCAGCAGUAGGGAAUCUUCCGCGAUGGGCGAAAGCCUGACGGAGCAACGCCGCGUGAGUGAUGAAGGUCUUCGGAUCGUAAAACUCUGUUAUUAGGGAAGAACAAAUGUGUAAGUAACUAUGCACGUCUUGACGGUACCUAAUCAGAAAGCCACGGCUAACUACGUG
This 497-nucleotide ribosomal RNA is filed under the name uncultured bacterium. Its description in RNAcentral is "partial 16S ribosomal RNA". It matches the Rfam family "Bacterial small subunit ribosomal RNA", at positions 28 to 507 of the family's 1533-position model. The record is from RNAcentral.